GCCAGGUGUGGUGGCUCACACCUGUAAUCCCAGCUACUCCGGAGGUCGAGGCAGGAGAAUUGCUUGAACCCGGGAGGCAGAGGUUGCAGUGAGCCGAGAUCACGCCACUGCACUCCAGCCUGGGCAACAGAGUGAGACUCUGUCUCUU
Molecule: unclassified non-coding RNA, 148 nt
Organism: Pongo abelii (Sumatran orangutan)
Lineage: Eukaryota; Metazoa; Chordata; Mammalia; Primates; Hominidae
Rfam family: Metazoan signal recognition particle RNA
About the family: The signal recognition particle (SRP) is a universally conserved ribonucleoprotein. It is involved in the co-translational targeting of proteins to membranes.
Source: Ensembl